AAGGAGGAUGCCGAAAAUCCUGAAAACAGAGUAGGCU
RNAcentral lists this non-coding RNA (37 nucleotides) under unclassified sequences. RNAcentral describes it as "DUF805b RNA". It matches the Rfam family "DUF805b RNA". From Rfam's summary of the family: Bacteroidetes, Chlorobi (1 example), Proteobacteria. Lineage (Flavobacteria) The record is from RNAcentral.